AGAGUUUGAUCCUGGCUCAGGAUGAACGCUGGCGGUAUGCUUAACACAUGCAAGUCGAACGGACUCUUCGGAGUUAGUGGCGGACGGGUGAGUAACGCGUGAGAAUCUGGCUUCAGGUUCGGGACAACAGUUGGAAACGGCUGCUAAUACCGGAUGUGCCUUAUGGUGAAAGAUUUAUCACCUGAAGAUGAGCUCGCGUCUGAUUAGCUAGUAGGUGUGGUAAGAGCGCACCUAGGCGACGAUCAGUAGCUGGUCUGAGAGGAUGAUCAGCCACACUGGGACUGAGACACGGCCCAGACUCCUACGGGAGGCAGCAGUGGGGAAUUUUCCGCAAUGGGCGAAAGCCUGACGGAGCAAUACCGCGUGAGGGAGGAAGGCUCUAGGGUUGUAAACCUCUUUUCUCAGGGAAGAACAAAAUGACGGUACCUGAGGAAUAAGCAUCGGCUAACUCCGUGCCAGCAGCCGCGGUAAUACGGAGGAUGCAAGCGUUAUCCGGAUUUAUUGGGCGUAAAGCGUCCGCAGGUGGCAGUUCAAGUCUGCUGUCAAAGGUCGGGGCUCAACCCCGAACAGGCAGUGGAAACUGAACAGCUAGAGUACGGUAGGGGCAGAGGGAAUUCCCAGUGUAGCGGUGAAAUGCGUAGAGAUUGGGAAGAACACCGGUGGCGAAAGCGCUCUGCUAGGCCGAAACUGACACUCAUGGACGAAAGCUAGGGGAGCGAAUGGGAUUAGAUACCCCCGUAGUCC
This 744-nucleotide ribosomal RNA is filed under the name uncultured cyanobacterium. RNAcentral's name for it is "bacterial SSU rRNA". It matches the Rfam family "Bacterial small subunit ribosomal RNA", at positions 8 to 796 of the family's 1533-position model. Lineage: Bacteria; Bacillati; Cyanobacteriota. The record is from RNAcentral.